UACGAAGGGGGCUAGCGUUGCUCGGAAUCACUGGGCGUAAAGCGCACGUAGGCGGAUUGUUAAGUCGGGGGUGAAAUCCUGGAGCUCAACUCCAGAACUGCCUUCGAUACUGGCGAUCUUGAGUCCGGGAGAGGUGAGUGGAACUCCGAGUGUAGAGGUGAAAUUCGCAGAUAUCAGGAAGAACACCAAUGGCGAAGGCAGCUCUCUGGGACGGUACUGACGCUGAGACGCGAAAGCGUGGGGAGCGAACAGG
This 253-nucleotide ribosomal RNA is filed under the name uncultured bacterium. RNAcentral describes it as "partial 16S ribosomal RNA". It matches the Rfam family "Bacterial small subunit ribosomal RNA", at positions 524 to 776 of the family's 1533-position model. The record is from RNAcentral.